Molecule: ribosomal RNA, 498 nt
Filed under: uncultured bacterium
Lineage: Bacteria
Description: partial 16S ribosomal RNA
Rfam family: Bacterial small subunit ribosomal RNA
Source: RNAcentral
GACGAACGCUGGCGGCGUGCCUAAUACAUGCAAGUCGAACGAGAGCGACCGGUGCUUGCACUGGUCAAUCUAGUGGCGAACGGGUGAGUAACACGUGGGUAACCUGCUCAUCAGAGGGGGAUAACAUCCGGAAACGGAUGCUAAAACCGCAUAGGUCUUCGAGCCGCAUGGCUUGAAGAGGAAAAGAGGCGCAAGCUUCUGCUGAUGGAUGGACCCGCGGUGCAUUAGCUAGUUGGUGAGGUAACGGCUCACCAAGGCCGUGAUGCAUAGCCGACCUGAGAGGGUGAUCGGCCACAUUGGGACUGAGACACGGCCCAAACUCCUACGGGAGGCAGCAGUAGGGAAUCUUCCGCAAUGGACGCAAGUCUGACGGAGCAACGCCGCGUGAGUGAAGAAGGUUUUCGGAUCGUAAAACUCUGUUGUUAGAGAAGAACAAGUGCUAGAGUAACUGUUAGCGACUUGACGGUAGCUAACCAGAAAGCCACGGCUAACUACGUG